CCUACGGGCGGCAGCAGUGAGGAAUAUUGGUCAAUGGACGAGAGUCUGAACCAGCCAGGUAGCGUGAAGGAUGACUGCCCUAUGGGUUGUAAACUUCUUUUAUAUGGGAAUAAAAUGUUCCACGUGUGGGAUUUUGUAUGUACCAUAUGAAUAAGGAUCGGCUAACUCCGUGCCAGCAGCCGCGGUAAUACGGAGGAUCCGAGCGUUAUCCGGAUUUAUUGGGUUUAAAGGGAGCGUAGGUGGAUUGUUAAGUCAGUUGUGAAAGUUUGCGGCUCAACCGUAAAAUUGCAGUUGAAACUGGCAGUCUUGAGUACAGUAGAGGUGGGCGGAAUUCGUGGUGUAGCGGUGAAAUGCUUAGAUAUCACGAAGAACUCCGAUUGCGAAGGCAGUUCACUGGACUGCAACUGACACUGAGGCUCGAAAGUGUGGGUAUCAAACAGGAUUAGAUACCCGAGUAGUC
Molecule: ribosomal RNA, 460 nt
Filed under: uncultured bacterium
Lineage: Bacteria
Description: partial 16S ribosomal RNA
Rfam family: Bacterial small subunit ribosomal RNA
Source: RNAcentral